UUGAACGCUGGCGGCAGGCCUAACACAUGCAAGUCGAGCGGAUGAAGGGAGCUUGCUCCUGGAUUCAGCGGCGGACGGGUGAGUAAUGCCUAGGAAUCUGCCUGGUAGUGGGGGAUAACGUCCGGAAACGGGCGCUAAUACCGCAUACGUCCUGAGGGAGAAAGUGGGGGAUCUUCGGACCUCACGCUAUCAGAUGAGCCUAGGUCGGAUUAGCUAGUUGGUGGGGUAAAGGCCUACCAAGGCGACGAUCCGUAACUGGUCUGAGAGGAUGAUCAGUCACACUGGAACUGAGACACGGACCAGACUCCUACGGGAGGCAGCAGUGGGGAAUAUUGGACAAUGGGCGAAAGCCUGAUCCAGCCAUGCCGCGUGUGUGAAGAAGGUCUUCGGAUUGUAAAGCACUUUAAGUUGGGAGGAAGGGCAGUAAGUUAAUACCUUGCUGUUUUGACGUUACCAACAGAAUAAGCACCGGCUAACUUCGU
RNAcentral lists this ribosomal RNA (482 nucleotides) under uncultured bacterium. Its description in RNAcentral is "partial 16S ribosomal RNA". It matches the Rfam family "Bacterial small subunit ribosomal RNA", at positions 30 to 506 of the family's 1533-position model. The record is from RNAcentral.